GACGAACGCUGGCGGCGUGCUUAACACAUGCAAGUCGAACGGAAAGGCCCUGCUUUUGUGGGGUGCUCGAGUGGCGAACGGGUGAGUAACACGUGAGUAACCUGCCCUUGACUUUGGGAUAACUUCAGGAAACUGGGGCUAAUACCGGAUAGGAGCUCCUGCUGCAUGGUGGGGGUUGGAAAGUUUCGGCGGUUGGGGAUGGACUCGCUGCUUAUCAGCUUGUUGUUGGGGUAGUGGCUUACCAAGCCUUCGACGGGUAGCCGGCCUGAGAGGGUGACCGGCCACAAUGGGACUGCGAGACGGCCCAGACUGCUACGGGAGGCAGAAGUGGGGAAUAUUGCACAAUGGGCGGAAGCCUGAGGCAGCAACGCCGCGUGCGGGAUGACGGCCUUCGAGUUGUAAACCGCUUUGGCCGGUGACGAAGCGUGAGUGACGGUAAUGGGUAAAGAAGCACCGGCUAACUACGUG
Molecule: ribosomal RNA, 468 nt
Filed under: uncultured bacterium
Lineage: Bacteria
Description: partial 16S ribosomal RNA
Rfam family: Bacterial small subunit ribosomal RNA
Source: RNAcentral